RNAcentral lists this ribosomal RNA (480 nucleotides) under uncultured bacterium. RNAcentral's name for it is "partial 16S ribosomal RNA". It matches the Rfam family "Bacterial small subunit ribosomal RNA", at positions 29 to 507 of the family's 1533-position model. The record is from RNAcentral.
GCGAACGUUGGCGGCGUGCUUAAUACAUGCAAGUCAACUGAAGCAGUGGUAGCAAUAUCGCUGUGGAGGUGGCGCACGGGUGAGUAACACGUAGGUAAUCUGCCUUCAGGUCUGGCAUAACUCCGGGAAACCGGGGCUAAUAGCAGAUGAUGCAGCGGCUCGACAUCGAGACAGUUGUUAAAGCUAUGGCGCCUGAAGAUGAGCCUGCGUCUGAUUAGCUAGUUGGCGGGGUAACGGCCCACCAAGGCAACGAUCAGUAGCUGGUCUGAGAGGAUGAUCAGCCACACUGGAACUGAGACACGGUCCAGACUCCUACGGGAGGCAGCAGUAAGGAAUAUUGCUCAAUGGGAGAAAUCCUGAAGCAGCAACGCCGCGUGAGGGACGAAGGGCUUUUGCUUGUAAACCUCUGUAGUGAGAGAAAAAAAUCCCAAUCUUUGGGACAUGAUGGUAUCUCAAAAGUAAGCCCCGGCUAACUACGUG